RNAcentral lists this ribosomal RNA (433 nucleotides) under uncultured bacterium. Its description in RNAcentral is "partial 16S ribosomal RNA". It matches the Rfam family "Bacterial small subunit ribosomal RNA", at positions 29 to 507 of the family's 1533-position model. The record is from RNAcentral.
AACGAACGCUGGCGGCAUGCCUAACACAUGCAAGUCGAACGAGACCUUCGGGUCUAGUGGCGCACGGGUGCGUAACGCGUGGGAACCUGCCCUUAGGUUCGGAAUAACUCCCCGAAAGGGGUGCUAAUACCGGAUAAUGUCUUCGGACCAAAGAUUUAUCGCCUUUGGAUGGGCCCGCGUUGGAUUAGCUAGUUGGUAGGGUAAAAGCCUACCAAGGCGACGAUCCAUAGCUGGUCUGAGAGGAUGAUCAGCCACACUGGGACUGCGACCCGGCCCAGACGCCUACGGGAGGCAGCAGUGGGGAAUAUUGGACACUGGGCGAAAGCCUGAUCCAGCAAUGCCGCGUGAGUGAUGAAGGCCUUAGGGUUGUAAAGCUCUUUUACCCGGGAUGAUAAUGACAGUACCGGGAGAAUAAGCUCCGGCUAACUCCGUG